GAGACACCCUUAUGGAGCAGGACUUGCUUCAAUGAGGCUUUGGUGUUCACUGAGUCUGCCCCUUGAGAGUAUCGCU
Molecule: microRNA precursor, 76 nt
Filed under: Myotis davidii
Lineage: Eukaryota; Metazoa; Chordata; Mammalia; Chiroptera; Vespertilionidae
Description: mir-9229 microRNA precursor family
Rfam family: mir-9229 microRNA precursor family
Source: Rfam by way of RNAcentral